GUGAUAUCUUGGUUCCAAUAAGCUCGUCUUGGAGGGUGUUACACCAUGCAUACAAUCAUUGCAAUUACAAGCUGGCGAUACAGUGACCUUUAGUCGUAUAGAUCCUGGAGGGAAACUUGUUAUGGGCUUUCGGAAGGCCACAAAUACUGUCAGUCUGCCAGACUCACAGAUUUCAGCUAUUGCGGAUGGUUCCCUUCUCAGUGAGACACUCUUUUCUACUGCAAAUGAAAGCAUAGGAGUAGUAAGUGGUUAUCCUGGAUUUCUUCACUCAAUAAAGGGAGCUGCAAAUUUCCAUCCAAGCUCUCUAUAUGAUCAUCAUAUGAACUCAGUUGACGGGGAUGUCAGUUAGAAUAAGGCAGGUAAAUUUGGCAGCAGGCCAGAUGAGGGGUCUUUGCAGUUUCUACAAAAACGAAGUCGCAAUAUUGGUUCCAAAAGCAGGAGGUUCUUAAUCGACACUGAAGAUGCCAUGGAACUAAAGCUUACCUGGGAAGAAGCUCAAG
Molecule: RNA transcript, 500 nt
Organism: Zea mays
Lineage: Eukaryota; Viridiplantae; Streptophyta; Magnoliopsida; Poales; Poaceae
Exons: 3
Source: RefSeq, a predicted model, not a curated record